Molecule: microRNA precursor, 113 nt
Organism: Medicago truncatula (barrel medic)
Lineage: Eukaryota; Viridiplantae; Streptophyta; Magnoliopsida; Fabales; Fabaceae
Rfam family: MIR2593 microRNA precursor family
Source: Rfam
UUAUAAGCAAAUUUUGACUUGUAGGUUCAUUCAAUUAAUGAUGUAUGUGGUCUAUAAUGUAGACCAUAUACAUCAUUAAUUGAAUGAACUUAAAAGUCAAAAUUUGCUUAUAU